Long non-coding RNA from Ruditapes philippinarum (Manila clam), 2013 nucleotides. RefSeq lists it as uncharacterized. The record is from RefSeq and is a predicted model, not a curated record. The transcript is spliced from 3 exons. Lineage: Eukaryota; Metazoa; Mollusca; Bivalvia; Venerida; Veneridae.
ACUUUACAUUCCAUCACCAGAGAGAGGCUAACAGGGCAUGAAUGUAAACAAAUAAUGUCUGACCUGAUAAGCCCUAGUGUGUUAAACUUACUGGGGAAAUCUCAUUUUUAUUCCACUCUGUUAUUCCAAUUCUAGAUAUAAUUAUACCAUUACUUUUCAUAAAAUACCUAAGGAUGUGAGUUUAACAAGGGAAAGGAUUGUGAAAAUAAGAUGGAUGAAAGAACAUUUCAAGAUCAAUAUUUUGCAAUAGUUGCUCGUUUUGAAGCAUUUCACACAAUAAGAUUAACAAUCAUGGACAUAAAUUCAUAUAUGUCUGAAGAGAACAGAUGUACCCUGUAGGUGGUUCGACUGGAGUAAUAAUCAACAGACCAGUAAGAUGAACACUAAAGAAGAAGAUUUCAUCACCAGAUGAAAGGAAUUCCACUGGUAACAGUCAUGAACACAAAUUGACAAUUGGUAUUUGAAUCGCCUUUAAUUGUCUCUUCAUGGCAGUGGCAAGAAACUAUCAAACAGUUCAAAGAAAAAUUACAGAAAACUAAGGAAGAAAACAAACAGUGAUAUUGAACGUUGGAUACAUACAAAUUUUCAAAUGCUGACAGUUGUAUAUUUUGUAAUGUUAUACAGGAUUUCCAACAAAAUUUACUAUAUAUUCAUUACAGUUUUCAAUAGGAAAAACAUUAAGAGCGUUUAUUAUGAUGCAAGCAAAACAAUCAGCUUGACUGGCGAAAUGUUUUUAGCAUAUUUUAAAGGACCAUUAUUUUGUUCAGUUUUGCGCCUUGAAUUUAAAUAAAAACUUUAAAAGAAAUCAUCGCAUUACUUUGUUUUUAACAUUAUACUUUGUUACAUAUAUGGUGCAGGGAAUAUGUCAACAUGUUUAUUACAUUUAAUAUUUUGUCCUCUUAUUGAGAGAAUAUGUCUUGGAAUGUUAUUAAAGAAGUGCUAAAACUCAUUGCUGCCUUUCCUAAUACCCUUCAACUGCAAGAUAUUGCGCAGGUUUUCUGCGAAUGUUCAGUCCCCUAUGUACAUGGAAUAUUUGGGGUUGGUGGGUUCAGGCAACAUCCUCUGGAAUUGCCGUGUUCCCUAAUGAUUUGUUAUAUACCAGCCAGUUAAGGGUUCCAACAAUAUGACCACAUAAUAAAAGUCGAACUAACUGGAAAAGUGCAAUAAUCUAAUGAUACUUGAGCUUUGUCUUAAGAUUUGACUGAUAUUUGCAAUCAAAUGAUUGUAUUUCGUUAUAUACUAAGUAUUUUAUACUGUAAUUAAUUAAAUAGUUGAUAAUAUAUAAGUUUUACGUUCCUUACUUAGCAUGAAAUGUAUUUUUACAUUGCUGUAAACAACAUCAUGUGUUAUGAUACUGAAAAUCCAUUGAAAUGUAUAAGACAGGGGUGUCAUGUUUAAACAAAAUAUCAUUUUGAUUUGAUAAGGCUGUCUGUAAAAUUAACCAGUUUCUAGAGAGUCAUACAGAUUUCUUUUGAUUUUAAAUACAAAGUGAAUAAAACUUUUUUAAACUUUUUUUUUCAAUAGCUAAAUUUAGGGGAAGUAUGGUACAGAAUUCAGCAUCCAACUGUUUACAUCUAUUAUCAGUUAAUUGCUUAAUACACUCUUGACCAACAUGUGUUGAGGUUAGCAAUAAAAUACUGAUAACGCAGAUAAUGUCUAUUUAAGUUGCAAAGGGUUUUAACCUGAUAUUUAUACUGACAAAGAAUAUUAGAAAUUACUUGGAAUUAUCAUAAACUUUAAUUGACUUAUCAGGUCUUGUAUGUCCUUCACUGUAUAAAGUGUAAAUUAAACCCAUUGUUGAUUUAUUUAUCUCCAGAAGAUAUUUUUUAAUAUUAAAUAUAGUACUCAACAAGUAUGUAGCAAACAGAACAUUAUCAAGAUCUCUGACACUGUAGAAAAAUCUUUCGGCGGCCAUAUAUUCGUUAUAUGUUUACAUAGAGCAGAUACCGCAGCUUGCCCUGUUAGCCUCCUUCUGAGAAAUCUAUGAAUAUGUAUGAGGUAAUAUUAAGAAGG